GACGAACGCUGGCGGCGUGCUUAACACAUGCAAGUCGAACGGAAAGGCCCCUUUUUUGUUACUCGCGCGGCUAACGGGCGAGUAACACGUGAGUAACCUGCCUGUCACUUCCUUUUAACUUCCUUCAAGUAGGUCUAAUUCCUGCUAGGAAGCCUUGCUUCCUGGUGGGUGUGGGAAAGCUUCUGUGGUUGUGGAUGGACUCGCGGGUUACUUGUCUGCUGGUGGGGUGGUGGCUUACCAAGGCUUUGUUUGGUGGCCGGCCGGGGGGGGGGGACGGCCCCAAUGGGGCUGGGAUACGGCCCAGGCUCCUACGGGGGGCAGCAGUGGGGAAUUUUGCACAAUGGGCGGAAGCCUGGUGCAGCCACGCCGCGUGCGGGAUGACGGCCUUCGGGUUGUAAACCGCCUUCAGCAGGGGAGAAGCUUGUGGUGACGGUACCUGGAGAAGAAGCACCGGCUAACUACGUG
This 465-nucleotide ribosomal RNA is filed under the name uncultured bacterium. RNAcentral describes it as "partial 16S ribosomal RNA". It matches the Rfam family "Bacterial small subunit ribosomal RNA", at positions 28 to 507 of the family's 1533-position model. The record is from RNAcentral.